This is an RNA transcript of Halichondria panicea, 3490 nucleotides long. RefSeq lists it as uncharacterized. The record is from RefSeq and is a predicted model, not a curated record. The transcript is spliced from 12 exons. Lineage: Eukaryota; Metazoa; Porifera; Demospongiae; Suberitida; Halichondriidae.
UGGUCAUAAUUAUAGCAGGUCUCUAGACUAGACUCUUCUACUAUAUGAUUGCAGCAGCACAAGGCUAGCUAUUAGUGACUAUAGCCAAUGAUGUUGUGUUUGUGGAUCCUCUAGUAUCAUAUUUUCACCCAAUACAGGUAUUAGUCCCCUUGGAUUAGAGUGUGACACAGUAUGUACUGACAUUAAUUGAUCAGCUUGUCUCCAAUGCCUGCAUGGAUCAACAGGUCAAUCUACUAGCCGUAUAAACCGUCAGUAUUACGUCUAUUGACUGCUUUAUGCAUGCAGUACACAUCACAUAGAACUGUCUGGACAUGCUGUGAGUGUGAUACGCUAGAUCUCUCUAGACUCGUGCGCCAUCACUGGUGCAUGACGUACAAAAAGUGCUGGCUUGAGAGUCUAAGGUAUCUCUGGAGGGGACAAUCAUCAUUCAAUAUACAUGUGUAUAUCACCAUCAUGCACUGAUGACUCAGCACUUGGUGAGCUCGAGUAUCUUCAUAAUAAUUAUAAUUAUUGGCUUGGGUGCGUGGCUGUGAAUAUUACUUGCUGGGUAGUAUAUUUCCUCCUGCAAUACUCUAUUAAUAUUGGGUGGGCUUUGUGGAAACCUUUGAUGUGGCCAUUGUGACUGACACAAUAAUUAUUAUAGAGAGACACUCACACUGAGGCUUACCAAACAGCACUUGUUGUCGUGACCAGAACACUCCACACUAUAGCUGGAGUUUGUAUUUAGUUAAUUAGAACACAUGCACCUACCUUAAGGUGACACAUUUUCGCGUGUAUUAAUUUCUGCUAUUUCUGCGAGAGAGUAAAAUCGCAAAAAUUAGUACUCGCAAAUAAUUGGCCGCCCUCUUGUUUAAUGUAUCCAGAUUGACAUUUCGCAAAAAAUAUACCAGCAAAAUGUACAAAACUAUAAAAACGCAAACAAAUCUACAGUAGUACCUGUGAAAAUAUGUCACCUUAAGGUACGUAUGUUAGAUAAGUGUUUGAAUCUAAUCUGUGUGCCAAGGAUGAGCUCAUCGAGUGCUAAAAGUUAAAACACAUGAUCUUGUUAUUUUAGGUUACUGUGUGUUCUACGAAAAAUUUAAUGGUGUCACAUGAUCUCUAUAUAGUCUUGUGCACAGCUUGACCUGUUAAAAUAUGCUUGAGGUACAGGACAUUGUAUAAACAUUGCAUCAGUUUAAUAAAGUGAGUCAUGAAUAAUUGACAUGUGUAUGAUAACAGUAGAUCUACAUACUGAGUAUAGACUAGACUCUUCUACUAGACUAUAUGAUUGCAGCAGCACAAGGCUAGGCUAGAAAUAGUGACUAUAGCCAACAACUCCAACUUCUCAUGAAAAACAUGAACAUACUCCGAAAGCAAGUCACUGUCCUGUUUGUAGUCAUUAUUGUUCAUAUUGGCUCAGAACAAAGGGUUCAGGCCUCUGCAGGGACUGGUGCUGCCAGUAGAGAGAACCACUCGAUUGGGUUGUAUACCAGAGGGCAGGACUGUCAGCUAGGAAUGCACUGUCGAUGAUGAUGAUGGUGAACGCUCAACAAUAUGGCGAGGGAGUGCAUUCAACUGUCCCAGCAGUUCAUCUGUGAUCAACUUAGCUCAUUCUCUAUAUGAACCUAAUGGAGUACGUGGUUCUUGCGGCGACUUGUCUGGCAUGAGUGUUGGGGUUAGUGGAAAUAACUUUACCUCUAUACUGACUCUAAUAGCAACUAUUGGGCUGAAUGGAAUGACUAUUGAAUGUACUCGGAGUGGUACAGUUAUCUUUGGAAAUGAUACCUUAAGAAGUGGAGCCCGUCUCUCUCCCCCUCAACGCGCCAUGGUGGACAUCACUUCUACUUCAUCCCUCACUGUUAGUUGGACCCCACCCUCUGAUACCAGCAACCUGGAGGGAUACCUGUUCACAGUGACUGGAGAGAAUUGUGGGUGUGAGAGUAUGAAUAUCAGUUCUGACACUACCAGUGUGAGCUGUUCUGGUUGGAUGGUUAAUAAUCAGACAUGUUCCUUUGAGGUGAGGACCGUCUCUCAAGACUGUGGGUUCACCAGUGCCCCUGUGAAUGAAUAUGUCGUACUGAUGGUACCACCUGCACCAACACAACUACGGGUGGUGUUUAGUGCAUAUAAAAUCGAGGUGGAAUUCAUGCAAGCAAUUCUAUCUCCUCUUGGUUCCAACCUUGACUCUACUAUAUCCUACACAGUGAUGGUGGUUGGAACUAACUUCUCAAUAAACUUCACUGGAGUGAUUUGUGAUAACAACAGAUGUAAUCUCACAAUCCCUAAUUCUCAACUCUCUACUUAUAAUGUCAGUUACAUGUACAUUGUCAGCGUGGUGGCCUCUAACAUAUUUGGCUUUGGACCUUCUGCAGUUUAUGUUGAAUGCAACCCAGAAGACCUUGGUAACUCCACUUUUCUGAAUGGACUUGGAAAGGUCAAUGUAUCAAACGGACUAAUUCACUACAGUGGCGUGUCUCCUGACUCUAUUGCAAUGUUACGAUGCAAUGAUGGGUACAGAGCAAACUCCUUCCUCAACAGGACGUGCAUGUUUGAUGGACAAUGGAGUGAGGGGGCAUUGGAGUGUGUUAGAGUGGAUGGAAAAACUGUUUCGCCUCGUAUCACACCUGCCUGUCCUCUAUACUGUGCUGUUUUGGUUGGUGUUUUUGUGUCUGUAACCGUGGUCGUGUUGAUAAUCGUUUGUAUUGCGAUUGCACUCUACAUUCUGAAGAAGUAUGGAAGAGAACGCUUCGCUUCAAUCAACAUGUCUGAAAAGGUUCAAUAUCGAGCCAAUCUAGAGAGUCCAAACACAAAUGAAUCAUCACUGUCCCUAGUCGAUACGCAGCCAUCAAAAGCCAAGAUAAAUGUCAACAGGAGCGAGCCAUCCCAAUCAGCUCAGGUGGAUACGUAUGCAAACCCUGAAGACUUCAUUAAAACACCACCACACAUGCAUCCACAAAAGAACGAGGAAGCGGAGGAUCUGAAAUCCCUUAAUGUAGAGAUCACUAAUGAUGAAGUGUCGCGAAUCUAUCCAUUGUUUGCUGUUGUGUCAUUGUUAAUUCACUUUCCUACGAAUCACUGCCGAGUUUCACAACUACUAUAAAGGAUGUCGAGUGUCUAUAUAAAAAACAAAGAUUUGACUUGUGACGGAAUGCCAAUUUAUUGUGCUCAGUACGAGAACAUUGAAGUAGCCAGACCUGUUGAAGUAACCUCUCAAAACAAGUGUACUCUGAAGUUUUUGAUGCCUUGCCAAAAGGAAAGUCCAAAAUAAUUGUGAAGUAAGCCAAAUAAACAUAAAAUCAUUUACUCUCAGUUGACAGCUUGCGUAACUAAAGCUCCGUUUGAUCACACAUGUAGUGUAAAUUAUUAUUGAAUUUCAUUGAUUUGUUAUUUCAUUGAUUGUUAAUUAUCAUUAAAAAUGUUCUUUCAUGUUUCCAUCAUUUACCUGCCACGUAUACUCACUGAUAGACCAACUUUAAUUGGUGCCAGAACUUCUGUUCAAGUAUAAUUAAUU